This 268-nucleotide ribosomal RNA is filed under the name uncultured Bradyrhizobiaceae bacterium. Its description in RNAcentral is "partial 16S ribosomal RNA". It matches the Rfam family "Bacterial small subunit ribosomal RNA", at positions 20 to 314 of the family's 1533-position model. The record is from RNAcentral. Lineage: Bacteria; Pseudomonadati; Pseudomonadota; Alphaproteobacteria; Hyphomicrobiales; Nitrobacteraceae.
UGGCUCAGAACGAACGCUGGCGGCAGGCUUAACACAUGCAAGUCGAGCGGGCGUAGCAAUACGUCAGCGGCAGACGGGUGAGUAACGCGUGGGAACGUACCUUUUCGUUCGGAACAACACAGGGAAACUUGUGCUAAUACCGGAUAAGCCCUUACGGGGAAAGAUUUAUCGCCGAAAGAUCGGCCCGCGUCUGAUUAGCUAGUUGGUGAGGUAAUGUCUCCCCAAGGCGACGGUCAAAAGCUGGUCUGAGAGGAUGAUCAGCCACAUU